This 372-nucleotide ribosomal RNA is filed under the name uncultured organism. RNAcentral describes it as "bacterial SSU rRNA". It matches the Rfam family "Bacterial small subunit ribosomal RNA", at positions 526 to 896 of the family's 1533-position model. The record is from RNAcentral.
CGUAGGGGGCUAGCGUUGUCCGGAAUCAUUGGGCGUAAAGCGCGCGUAGGCGGCCCGGUAAGUCCGCUCUGAAAGUCCAGGGCUCAACCCUGGAAAGCGGGUGGAUACUGCCGGGCUAGAAUCCGGAAGAGGCGAGUGGAAUUCCUGGUGUAGCGGUGGAAUGCGCAGAUAUCAGGAGGAACACCAAUAGCGAAGGCAGCUCGCUGGGACGGUAUUGACGCUGAGGCGCGAAAGCGUGGGGAGCAAACAGGAUUAGAUACCCUGGUAGUCCACGCCGUAAACGAUGGGCACUAGGUGUGGGAGGUGUCGACUCCUCCCGUGCCGACGCUAACGCAUUAAGUGCCCCGCCUGGGGAGUACGGCCGCAAGGCUA